GUAACGUCAAGGCCGGCCAAUAUUAGUGACCAACUUUCCUCCUCACUGAAAGUGCUUUACAACCCGAAAGCCUUCUUCACACACGCGGCAUGGCUGGAUCAGGGUUGCCCCCAUUGUCCAAUAUUCCCCA
Molecule: ribosomal RNA, 130 nt
Filed under: uncultured bacterium
Lineage: Bacteria
Description: partial 16S ribosomal RNA
Source: RNAcentral